Molecule: transfer RNA, 73 nt
Filed under: Kwoniella bestiolae CBS 10118
Lineage: Eukaryota; Fungi; Basidiomycota; Tremellomycetes; Tremellales; Cryptococcaceae
Description: tRNA-Thr (TGT) (tRNA-Thr-TGT-1-1)
Rfam family: tRNA
About the family: Transfer RNA (tRNA) molecules are approximately 80 nucleotides in length. Their secondary structure includes four short double-helical elements and three loops (D, anti-codon, and T loops).
Source: RNAcentral
GCUCGCAUAGUUUAGUGGUUAUAAUUUUGCACUUGUAAUGCAAGGGUCGCUAGUUCGAAUCUGGCUGUGAGCA